RNAcentral lists this ribosomal RNA (1607 nucleotides) under metagenome. RNAcentral describes it as "bacterial LSU rRNA". It matches the Rfam family "Bacterial large subunit ribosomal RNA", at positions 1297 to 2925 of the family's 2925-position model. The record is from RNAcentral.
CCGGAAUGAGUAGCAAGAGGAAGGUGGGAAUCCUUCCGGCCGAAUAUCUAAGGUUUCCAGAGUAAAGCUGAUCUGCUCUGGGUAAGUCGGGGCCUAAGGAGAGGUCGAAAGACGUAUCCGAUGGACAACAGGUUUAGAUUCCUGUACCACAUAUAAACAGAACUGUGGGGACGCAUGUGGAAAGCAUAAGCCGGGAAUGGAAAUACCGGUACAAACGGAAGAGGUGUCAGGCUGGCAAAUCCGCCUGGCAAGCCAAAGACGUGAUGUGGAGCGAAAUAAAAGUAGCGAAGUAUGUGAGCCAUGUGCCGAGAAAAGCCGCUAUUGUUUUAUAUGUGCCCGUACCGUAAACCGACACAGGUGGAUGAGGAGAGAAUCCUAAGGCCGACGGAAGAAGCAUUGUUAAGGAACUCGGCAAAAUGACCCCGUAACUUCGGGAGAAGGGGUGCCCACUUCAGGGUGGGCCGCAGAGAAUAGGCUCAAGCAACUGUUUAGCAAAAACACAGGUCUAUGCGAAACCGUAAGGUGAAGUAUAUGGGCUGACGCCUGCCCGGUGCUGGAAGGUUAAGAGGAGAGGUUAGUCGCAAGAUGAAGCUUUGAAUUUAAGCCCCAGUAAACGGCGGCCGUAACUAUAACGGUCCUAAGGUAGCGAAAUUCCUUGUCGGGUAAGUUCCGACCCGCACGAAAGGCGUAAUGAUUUGAGCACUGUCUCGACAAUGCAUCCGGUGAAAUUGAAGUACCAGUGAAGAUGCUGGUUACCCGCGCCAGGACGGAAAGACCCCAUGGAGCUUUACUCCAGUUUGGUACUGGGAUUCGGUACUGCAUGUACAGGAUAGGUGGGAGACUGAGAAAUUGGAACGCCAGUUUCAAUGGAGUCACUGUUGGGAUACCACCCCUGCAGUAUUGGGUUUCUAACCAGCCGCUGUGAUCCAGCGGUGGGACAAUGCCAGGCGGGGAGUUUGACUGGGGCGGUCGCCUCCGAAAGGGUAUCGGAGGCGCUCAAAGGUUCCCUCAGAAUGGUCGGAAACCAUUUGAAGAGUGCAAAGGCAGAAGGGAGCUUGACUGCGACACCGACGGGUGGAGCAGGUACGAAAGUAGGACUUAGUGAUCCGGUGGCAUAAAGUGGGAUUGCCAUCGCUCAACGGAUAAAAGCUACCCUGGGAUAACAGGCUUAUCACUCCCAAGAGUUCACAUCGACGGAGUGGUUUGGCACCUCGAUGUCGGCUCAUCGCAUCCUGGGGCUGUAGCAGGUCCCAAGGGUUGGGCUGUUCGCCCAUUAAAGCGGUGCGCGAGCUGGGUUCAGAACGUCGUGAGACAGUUCGGUCCCUAUCCGGCGCGGGCGGAGGAUAUUUGAGAGGAGCUGUCCUUAGUACGAGAGGACCGGGAUGGACGGACCACUGGUGUAUCUGCUGUCGACCAACGGCAUGGCAGAGUAGCCAAGUCCGGAAGGGAUAAACGCUGAAGGCAUCUAAGCGUGAAGCCCCCCUCAAGAUGAGAUAUCCCUUCCAUAAGGAAGUAAGAUCCCUUGAAGAGUACAAGGUAGAUAGGGCAGAGGUGGAAGCACGGUAACGUGUGGAGCUGACUGUUACUAAUCGAUCGAGGGCUUGACC